Non-coding RNA from Brachypodium distachyon (stiff brome), 125 nucleotides. NCBI's taxonomy places the organism in Eukaryota, Viridiplantae, Streptophyta, Magnoliopsida, Poales, Poaceae. The record is from Rfam.
CUAAUACUCCCUCCGUCCCAUAUUAAGCGUCGAAAUAUUACAUGUAUCUAGACGUUUUUUAGGCAUAGAUACAUCCAUAUUUGGAUAAAUUUGAGACACUUAAUAUGGGACGGAGGGAGUAGUAC